RNAcentral lists this ribosomal RNA (450 nucleotides) under uncultured bacterium. Its description in RNAcentral is "bacterial SSU rRNA". It matches the Rfam family "Bacterial small subunit ribosomal RNA", at positions 29 to 524 of the family's 1533-position model. The record is from RNAcentral.
AGCGAACGCUGGCGGCAGGCCUAACACAUGCAAGUCGAACGGAUCCUUCGGGAUUAGUGGCGGACGGGUGAGUAACACGUGGGAACGUGCCUUUAGGUUCGGAAUAACUCAGAGAAAUUUGAGCUAAUACCGGAUAAUGUCUUCGGACCAAAGAUUUAUCGCCUUUAGAUGGGCCCGCGUAAGAUUAGCUAGUUGGUGGGGUAAAGGCCUACCAAGGCGACGAUCUUUAGCUGGUCUGAGAGGAUGAUCAGCCACACUGGGACUGAGACACGGCCCAGACUCCUACGGGAGGCAGCAGUGGGGAAUAUUGGACAAUGGGCGAAAGCCUGAUCCAGCAAUGCCGCGUGAGUGAUGAAGGCCUUAGGGUUGUAAAGCUCUUUUACCCGAGAUGAUAAUGACAGUAUCGGGAGAAUAAGCUCCGGCUAACUCCGUGCCAGCAGCCGCGGUAAU